This is a long non-coding RNA of Hyaena hyaena (striped hyena), 1175 nucleotides long. RefSeq lists it as uncharacterized. Lineage: Eukaryota; Metazoa; Chordata; Mammalia; Carnivora; Hyaenidae. The record is from RefSeq and is a predicted model, not a curated record. The transcript has 8 exons.
ACCCCGCGAGGGGAAAUGAGGGGCGCCGCUGAAGAAGCGGUGCCCACUGGGCAAGUGCUGCCCAAAGGACUCCCGGAGCUGGACGGCACUGAACUAAGGCCACCACCUGUGAGAUCAAGCCCCUCUGGCCCUGUAAUCAAGUGCCCGCAGGGAUCCAUGGUCCAUGGGGACCACUCUGAGAACAGGUGUUCCCAGUGCUAGCUCUGGUUUGAGUUUCAGUUCUCUGCCAAUUUCUCUUAUUUGCCUCCCCCUCUCCCCCAAUUCAAUACAAUCCUACGGAGUUGGUUUUUGUUUUUGUUUUUUUGCUGCGUUUUGUUUGCUGCUGAGGAAACAGCCUUUGAAAGAAUAAGGGACAUGGGCAAGGCCACGUAGGAACUGCUUCCCUUGCAACCAGUAUAGGCAUGUGGAUAGAUUCUGCCAGUCAAGUACCCAUGGACCAGAUUUUAAUUUGAAAAGAAACACAUUUAUCUUCCCAUUUCUCUAUUGUAUCUUAGUGAAAAAUGCCAAGACGUCAUCAGCGGAUAAGACAGGAAACAAGAUUGUUGGGGGCCAUACAAAUAAUGACUGGUCUGAUUGUUCACUGCGUGGGACUGCUCUGGACAUAUUUGUUUACUACACAAGCUAUUAUAUUUGGAAAAAUGUAUCUUCCUCUCGUAGUAAUAACAGGAUAUGCAUAUUGGUCAUCUGUGUGUUUUAUCUUCUCGGGAGUCUUUGCAGUAUUAACAGAGAGGAUGCAUUCAGUGUUCUUGAUGUCCUAUACUAUGGUAGUGAACAUCGUAAGUGCCUGCACUGCAGUGAUUGGCCUGAUUAUACUAUCACUUGAGUUUAUAAUAUAUAGUAUGACUACAAAACCUCCUAUUUGGCCAGAGAGAAGUGGUAAAAUCCUUUCAGAAUAUCUAUUCCUAUUCACCUUGUUGGAGUUAUUUAUGGCGUGUACAGUGGUCCAUUGGAUAUACAAAGCUAAACAACGCAGAUAAUAAAGAUGUAGUACACAGCAGAAGGGAAUCCUUUACCUACAUAUUAAAGAACCAUAAUGACGUGAGUCAAGAAGAAAGUGUAGUGCCGAAUGAAGAACUUCAUUUUGUUCAAGAGGCUUCUUGGAAAAUGCAUUUUAAUUAAGUCCAUCACAGUAUUUCCUUUCCCCCACUUCAUUAAUAAAAAUUUUAAUUGAUAAA